GCUACAUCAAGCUGCAUCAGCAAAGAACCAUCCUCUAUAAGUGGCUCAAAGUACCUCCUGCCACCAAACAGUUCACCCAGGCCCUGGACAGGUAAACAGUGACUCAGCUGCUUAAACUUGCCUACAAGUACAGGCCAGAGACAAAGCAGGAGAAGCAGCAAAGGCUGCUGGCCUGCGCUGAGAAGAAAGCUGUUGGCAAAGGGGACAUCCCAACUAAGAGACCACCUGUCCUCCGAGCAGGGGUCAAUACAGUCACCACUUUGGUGGAGAACAAGAA
This 277-nucleotide long non-coding RNA is filed under the name Rattus norvegicus (Norway rat). RNAcentral's name for it is "long non-coding RNA NONRATT019502". Lineage: Eukaryota; Metazoa; Chordata; Mammalia; Rodentia; Muridae. The record is from RNAcentral.